CCUACGGGUAGCAGCAGUGGGGAAUAUUGGGCAAUGGGCGCAAGCCUGACCCAGCAACGCCGCGUGAAGGAAGAAGGCUCUCUGGUUGUAAAAUUCUUUUUUGAGGGACGAAACAAAUGACGGUACCUCAUGGAUAAACCACGGCUAACUACGUGCCAGCAGCCGCGGUAAUACGUAGGUGGCAAGCGUUAUCCGGAUUUACUGGGUGUAAAGGGCGUGUAGGCGGAACGGUAAGUCAGAUGUGAAAAUUAUGGGCUCAACUCAUACCCUGCAUUUGAAACUGUAGUUCUUGAGUGAUGGAGAGGCAGGCGGAAUGCCGGGUGUAGCGGUGAAAUGCGUAGAUAUCCGGAGGAACACCAGUGGCGAAGGCGGCCUGCUGGACAUCAACUGACGCUGAGGCGCGAAAGCGUGGGGAGCAAACAGGAUUAGAUACCCUAGUAGUC
Molecule: ribosomal RNA, 443 nt
Filed under: uncultured bacterium
Lineage: Bacteria
Description: partial 16S ribosomal RNA
Rfam family: Bacterial small subunit ribosomal RNA
Source: RNAcentral